AUUGAACGCUGGCGGCAUGCCUUACACAUGCAAGUCGAACGGCAGCGCGGGAGCUUGCUCCUGGCGGCGAGUGGCGAACGGGUGAGUAAUACAUCGGAACGUACCCAGAAGUGGGGGAUAACGUAGCGAAAGUUACGCUAAUACCGCAUAUUCUGUGAGCAGGAAAGUGGGGGAUCGCAAGACCUCACGCUUUUGGAGCGGCCGAUGUCGGAUUAGCUAGUUGGUGAGGUAAAGGCCUACCAAGGCGACGAUCCGUAGCGGGUCUGAGAGGAUGAUCCGCAACACUGGAACUGAGACACGGCCCAGACUCCUACGGGAGGCAGCAGUGGGGAAUUUUGGACGAUGGGGGCAACCCUGAUCCAGCCAUGCCGCGUGAGUGAAGAAGGCCUUCGGGUUGUAAAGCUCUUUCGCGAGGGAAGAAAGCGCACUGGUUAAUACCUGGUGUGGAUGACGGUACCUUGAUAAGAAGCACCGGCUAACUACGUGCCAGCCGCCGCCGUAA
This 502-nucleotide ribosomal RNA is filed under the name uncultured bacterium. RNAcentral describes it as "partial 16S ribosomal RNA". It matches the Rfam family "Bacterial small subunit ribosomal RNA", at positions 30 to 523 of the family's 1533-position model. The record is from RNAcentral.